Molecule: ribosomal RNA, 1969 nt
Filed under: Phormidium sp. SL48-SHIP
Lineage: Bacteria; Bacillati; Cyanobacteriota; Cyanophyceae; Oscillatoriales; Oscillatoriaceae
Description: partial 23S ribosomal RNA
Rfam family: Bacterial large subunit ribosomal RNA
Source: RNAcentral
AAGAAAGAUGUUAAGGGCAAUCGGUGGAUGCCUUGGCGUCAGGAGGCGAUGAAGGACGUGGCAGGCUGCGAUAAGUUCCGGUGAGGAGUCAAACAUCCUUUGACCCGGAAAUUUCCGAAUGGGGCAACCCAGCUGGAGUAAUGUCCAGUUAUCUCUAAGCUGAAUACAUAGGCUUUGAGAGGCGAACUCGGGGAAGUGAAACAUCUCAGUACCCGAAGGAGUAGAAAUCAAAAGAGAUUCCCCUAGUAGCGGCGAGCGAACGGGGAUUAGCCCAAACCGGGUGGUUUCGACCAUCCGGGGUUGUAGGACCUCAAUAAUUGAUCCGUUAUUAGAUAGCAGAACAUUCUGGCAAGGAUGACCGCAGAGGGUGACAGUCCCGUAUGCGAAAUCGAAAACGGCAAGUGAGGCACCUGAGUAGGGCGGGACACGAGAAAUCCCGUUUGAAUCUGGGAGGACCAUCUUCCAAGGCUAAAUACUACCUGACGACCGAUAGUGAACCAGUACCGUGAGGGAAAGGUGAAAAGAACCCCUGUUAGGGGAGUGCAAUAGAACCUGAAACCGAUUGCUUACAAGCAGUGGGAGCACCUUUUUGGUGUGACCGCGUGCCUUUUGCAUAAUGGGCCAGCGAGUUACGCUACAGUGCAAGGUUAAGCCGCGAGGUGUAGCCGAAGCGAAAGCGAGUCUGAAUAGGGCGUUUAGUACUGUGGAGUAGACCCGAAGCCGGGUGAUCUAUCCAUGAGCAGGCUGAAGCUUGAGUAAAAUCAAGUGGAGGGCCGAACCAGUAUCAGUUGAAAAUGAUUUGGAUGACUUGUGGAUAGGGGUGAAAGGCCAAUCAAACCCGGUGAUAGCUGGUUCUCUCCGAAAUAUAUUGAGGUAUAGCCUCAGGAGUUUACUUGCGGAGGUAGAGCACUGAAAGGGCUAGGGGGCUUACCCGCUUACCAAACCCUAUCAAACUCCGAAUGCCGUAAGUCCAAUCCUGGGAGUCAGACUGCGGGUGAGAAGGUCCGUAGUCGAAAGGGAAACAGCCCAGACCGACAGCUAAGGUCCCUAAAUCCAUACUGAGUGGGAAAGGAAGUGAAGUCGCUUAGACAGCCAGGAGGUUGGCUUAGAAGCAGCCAUCCUUUAAAGAAAGCGUAAUAGCUCACUGGUCUAGCGACUUCGCGCCGAAAAUGUAACGGGGCUAAGUAUGGUGCCGAAGCUUCGGAAUCGCGCUUGCGCGGUUGGUAGGAGAGCGUUCUCAUAUGGGAUGAAGAUCGAUUGGAAAGUCGGUUGGACUUGUGAGAAGUGAAUAUGCUGGCAUGAGUAACGAUAAAACAGGUGAGAAACCUGUUCGCCGUAAACCCAAGGUUUCCUGGGUAAAGUUAAUCUUCCCAGGGUUAGUCGGCCCCUAAGGCGAGGCUGAAAAGCGUAGUCGAUGGGAAACGGGUUAAUAUUCCCGUACCCGCGUGAUAUUGUUUGAACGAUGGGGGGACGCAGGAAGGUAGGUCAUCCGGCUGUUGGAAUAGCCGGUGCAAACUUGUAGGGAUGAGUUCCAGGCAAAUCCGGAACUCUCUAUCCCGAGAAGUGAUGCCGAGUCGUAAGACAUAAGUGAUUGAUCCUAUGCUGCCGAGAAAAGCCUCUAAGUGAGAUGUCAUGUGGACCGUACCGCAAACCAACACAGGUGGGUGGGGUGAGUAACCCAAGGCGCUUGAGAGAACUCUGGUUAAGGAACUCGGCAAAAUGACCCCGUAACUUCGGGAGAAGGGGUGCCGCUUUUGGUGAUCAUAUUUACUUUGUGAGCUGAAGGCGGUCGCAGAUAAAUGGCGGUGGCGACUGUUUACUAAAAACAUAGGUCUCUGCGAAGUCGUAAGACGACGUAUAGGGACUGACACCUGCCCGGUGCCGGAAGGUUAAGAGGAGGUGUUAGCGCAAGCGAAGCUCCGAAUUGAAGCCCCGGUAAACGGCGGCCGUAACUAUAACGGUCCUAAGG